CUUGUUCCUGGGGAUCCAACUCCCGGCAGGGACACAGCAUGCGGAGUUGCCAGGAUGGAGCAGAGGGACAGGUCUGGAGGGAGGGAAGACAAUGGUGGCAGGAGCCAGCUGGAGCUGGAGCGAGCCUCCAAGGCAGCAGAUUCUACAGCCACGUUCAGGUCCUCCAAGGAAGACAGAGACCCGAGGCAGAGGCGUGGAUCCAGCAGAAGGCAGAGACAGGAGGUACUCCAAGUCAAAGUCCACGGCCACAAUGGCUGAAUCCCCUUGAAAAGUAGACCAACUCACAGCCCCACCAACAAUGGGGGGAAACAAAAACACAAGGCUGACCCUCAACCAAUCUCUUAACGUAUGCUGUGUAUUUCUUCGCUAUAAGCACAGUGUUGUACAUCACAUCUCUGGAAUCUUUUUAUCUUGCAUGACUCAGUCUCUGAGCCCAUCGAGCAGCGGCUGCCUGUUUCUCCCUCCUUCCACGCCCUGCAAGCACCAACCUGCCUUUUGUGUCUAUGAGUUUGAGAAAUUUAGAUUCCUCUUGUGAGUGGAAUCAUAUAACUGGCUGAUUGCAUUGACCAUAAUGUCCACAAGGGUUGUCUGUGUUGUCUCAUGUCAGGAUCUCUUUUUCAGAGUUGCAUGAUUUUCGUGUGUGUGUGUGUGUGUGUGUGUGUGUGUGUGUGUGUGUGUUUUCUUUAUCUGCUCAUCCGUGAGUGGACAUUUAGGUGGUUCCCACUUUGUGGCUAUUGUGAAUGAUAUAAUUAGUAUGGAUGCCAUGGUUUGAAGGUGUCCCCCCAGAAAGCAUGCAUUGGAAACUUAAUCCCCAUUGCAACAGUGUAGGGAGGUGGGACCUAAUGGGAGGUGUUUAGAUCAUGAGGGCGCCACCUUCGUGGGUGGAUUUAUGCUCUCAGUAAAAGGAUUCAAGGCUGGGAGUUCAAUCUCUUGCUUUCCUCUUGCUCUCUCACCCGUGUUCUGACACAGCAGAAAUGCUCUCACCAUCUGCAGCUGCUCAAUCUUAGAUUCCCAGCCUCCACAACUGAAAGCAACAAACCUUUGUUCUUUGUAAAUUACUUAAUCUCAGGUAUUCUGUCAUAGCAGCACAAAACACACUAAUACAAUGCAAGCACAGAUAUCUCUUCAAGAACCUGACCUCAAUUAUUGGGAUGAACACCCAGAAGUUGGAUUGGUAGACCACAGAGUUCUUCUAUUUUUAAUUUUUUGAGGAAUCUCUAGUUUUUUGUUGUGGUUUCAACUUCUCCCCAGUCGACAAUCCCUGUUUUGCUGGUUGGCUGGCUGGUUGGUUGUCUUAUAACAGCCGCCUUAACGAGUGUGAGGUGAUACUUCACUGUGGUUUAGUUGGCCUUUUUCUGAUCAUCAGUGGUGUGGAGCAUCUUUUCACAUUUGUGUUUCUUCUUUGGAGAAAUAUCUACUCAAGGCCUUUGUCCAUUUUUUCAAUCUGGUUAUUUAUUGUUGGGUUGUGGUUGUUUUGUUGUUGAGCUGUAGGAGCUCCUUACUGAAGAGACUAUCUUUUCCCCACUCUGGAAUCUUGGCACUCCUGCAAAGAUCACUUGGCUGUACGUGUGGGUUUGUUUUUUCCUGGGCUCGCUAUUCUGUUACAUGGGUCUGUAUGUCUUUGUGAAGUACCAUGCUGCUUAGACCCCUGUAGCUUUGUACUACUCUUUGAAACCAGAAAACGUGAAGCUUCCAACUUUGCUCUUCUUUCUCAGGAUUGUUUUGGCUAUUGGGGAUUCUUUGUCAUUCCAGAUGAAUUUUAGGAUUUUUUUUUCUAUUUCUGUAGUCAAAAGAGUCUGAUUGGAGAUGUAUCAGAUCUGUAGGCCACUGUAGAAAGUAUGGACAUUGAACAAUAUUAAGUCUUCCAAUCCAUGAGCCUGGGCUGUCUUUCCAUUUGUUAGGUCUUCUUUAAUGUCAGCAAUGCUUUUUAGUUUCCAGUGCAUAACCCUUUCACCUCCCUUAUAAAGUUUACUCCUAAACUGUUUGGGUUUUAUUCUGUUGUAAUGGGGAUUGUUUUCCUAGUUGCCUGGUGGAUUAUUUAUUGUUCAUAGUCAUUCAUUGUAAAACAACAACUACUCUGCUAAUAUUUUCUCUGCUAAUUUUGAUUCCUGCUGAAUUUAUUAGUUCUAACAUAUUUGGGGAUGGAAUUUUCAGGGUUUUCCACACCUUAGGUCCUAUCAUCAGCAAAAAAAAUAAUGUUUACUUCUUCCUUUCCAAUUUGGAUGACUUUUAUUUUAUUUUUCUUGCCCAAUUGCUCUGUCUAUGUUGAAUUGUGAGAGGGAGCGUCCUUGUCUGUUCCUGACCUUGCAGAAAAUUUUUUCAGUUUUUCCCUAUUGAACAUGUUAACUAUUUUCCUGUAUUCCUAGUUUGGUUGAGUAUUUUAAUCAUGAAGUCGUGUUGAAAUGUGUCAAAUUCUUUUGAGAGAUCGAUUAAGAUGACCACAUUUUUUUUAUUCUUUGUUAACGUGGUCCAGUACGUAUUUAUUGAUAUGCACUUAUGAAACUAUCCUUGCAUCUCAGAGAUAACUUACCCGGUCAUGCAUGGUGUGUGAUCCUUUCAAUACACAGUUAAGUUCAGAUUGCUCGUAUUUUGUCGAUUUUUCACACCUAUAUUUCUCAGGAAUAUUGGACAGCAGUUUUCUUCGCUUACAGUAUCUUUUUCAUUCAUUUGUCUUAAUAUCAUGGCCUGGUAAUACCUGCAUCAUAAAAUGAGUAUAGAAGCAUUUCCUUCUCUUUGAUUUUUUUGGGGGAAGAGUUUGAGAAGAAUUGGCGUUAAUUCUUCUUUCCAUGCCCUGGGAUCGAGUGUCAUGAGAGUCGCACGUCCAGGCCAGGUGGAGGUACCUACAGGUCUCUCAGUCUCUGAAAGCAAGCCCCCACAGUCCUCCUGCCAAUCCUUUUCAGUUUUCAGCAGAGUCCUCACAUCCUUAUCCUGUGCCCUAAAGUCCUGACUCCGAGGAGGCAACCAGCCUCUCACUUCAAGAUGAUGAAGACCUUCAGAUCUGACUUCCUCCAUUUCUACUCUACUCCUCGCCUUUCCCAGAAAGGUGGCCCCACCUACACCCGUCCCUCCAUCUCACCUUCCUCCCGACCCCACUCAGUUGAAUAGGCUCCUAAAAUGUCUCAGAUGUGUCCAAACAUCAUCAAAAGGGUCAUCACCGGCCUUGACCAGAGCUCUGCCCCCAGCGUCAUGGAGGACGAAGACAGACUGUGUGGGGGUGGGUAGGAGGAGGUAGAAACAGGGAGCUUGGGGGGAUGAUGGAAUAUUCUAGGUCUUUAUUGUUGGGUAGGCAUCUGUCAAAAUUAUAGAACUGCACAUGGAAGAAGGCGGAUUCUGCUAGAUGUAAAUGGCACCUCGAUAAA
Non-coding RNA from Ictidomys tridecemlineatus (thirteen-lined ground squirrel), 3359 nucleotides. NCBI's taxonomy places the organism in Eukaryota, Metazoa, Chordata, Mammalia, Rodentia, Sciuridae. The record is from RefSeq and is a predicted model, not a curated record.